CUAGAAUUGGUCAAAUCACUGUGACUCAACUUCCCUGGUCUGCUGGAAGAAAUGAAGGCACACAUGGAAAGGAGUGGCUGAGAAUUUAAUACUGGUAAACACUAUAAAUUGUAAAUGUAAGUUGUAAAUGACCUUGUCACUGGAGAGGGGAGAAGGAACUGGAGUCAGACGUCCCAGCAGAAACAGCAGCGGCAACAUGCGGUAGGCACACCUGGAGAGCAACAGGCACUUUGGUAAGUGGUUCAUGCACAUGGUCUUAUUUUAGUCUCGGGGCAGCCCUAAGAGGUAGGUAUCUGGUGUCACCUUACACAUGACGAGACAAACCAGAGAGGUCAGCACAGCAGAAGCUCAUGCAGCGACCAAGCAGCAGAGCCUGGAUUCAAACCCGAGCCCUGCUGUGUGCAAGAACCCCUGGGACUCAGCUGUUCCUGCUCACAGCAGGCUGAGCACCAGAGCCACCUGGAGGGCCCAUAAUAGGCACCACUGUGCCCAGGCACGAGGCAGCCAAGUGGCACAUGCCACCCGGGGAAGACAACUUGGUGGCAGGGAGAGCAGGUGGGCGGAGCCAAGAAGCCAGGCCAAGGCGCUCAGCACAAUCCCUGAGGGGAACUCACCAUACCCGGGUGCAGCCCUCAGACUCCCACCAGCCUUCAUCAGUGGGUUUUGAUGGUGACAUGGGAGAGGGCCUGCCCACUCCCAGGUACAGCAUAACUGAGGCACAGUCACUAAGCCUGCCCCACUGUAAGGCCUGGCUGUUGGCUGUGGAGAGAGGACAGCCCUGCAGACCCUGGCUCACUGCUCACCCCCACUCCAGGAGCUCCCACAUCAGGGCGGGUAGAGCCCGCAGUCCUGUCGCAGAUGCCCCUCACCGCACUGUCCUGUCAUCCUGACUCCAUAGUCCACGGGCGUCAGCAAGCCCUGGGAACACAGUUCACUCCCCUUUGUGGUCCUAGUGUUUAGGACCCAACACAGCUCCUCUAACCAAGGCACAACCUGAAAUUCUCUCCUGCCCAGGACUGACAAGCUGGGACAAGGAAGGGACAGGGUUUCCAUCAACUCAUCCAUCUGGAAGGAGUGUGAAGACAUGGCCCCUUGUGGAGUUCUAGCUGGCACCCGCAGGGUCUACUCUGGUGGGGGCUACUUUUGUACGAGUCAAGAUGCAACUGCUUUAUUUUUUAGUUUUUUUUUGAGACAAGGUCACAACGUUGCCCAGGCUGGAGUGCAAUGGCGUGAUCUCGGCUCACUGCAGCCUCCGCCUCCAGGGUUCAAGUGAUUCUUCCACCUCAGCCUCCCAAGUAGCUGGGAUUACACGCGUGUGCCACCACACCUGGCUAAUUUUUGCAUUUUUAGUAGAGACAGGGUUUCACCAUGUUGGCCAGGCUGGUCUCGAGCUCCCGACCUUAAGUGAUCUGCCCGCCUGGGCCUCCCAAAGUGCUGGGAUUACAGGCGUGAGCCACCAAGCCCGGCUGCAACUGCUUUAGAAAGAAUUAAUUAAUCCUUCCACGUUGGGACCCACCUGGGAGCUGCUGGAAGCCUGGGGACGCUGCCCCAGUGUGGUGAUGGGGGAUGACCUGGCACUCAACUGCUUCCACCACUUCAGUGUCAGUUGAGGAGACUCCUGGGGCCGAGGACAAGGGACAGGCACAGAGGCUCCUCGGUGAAGGGCAUGGGGGGCACUGCUCCCCCACUGGCCUCAGGAGCCUGCUUUUCAGAGCAGCAGGUGGGCUCUGGAUUCUAGCAACGGACACACUGAUCCUUAACCCUGGUUAGGAUCUUAACACAGGGAGAACUGUACUUUAUUGCAGCCACAGGGCUAACUGCUGGAGACAGACCCAUGGGCCCUGGCCAUUUCCACCACCCCAAAAACCUGCCCUUGUGCGUGGUAUCAAGGACAAACAAAUCACAAGCGCACAAAUCUGAUGAGUGCCAGGUGGGGUGCACAUUUGGGAAGAUGCCCCCACGUGGCUCUGAAGGCUCUUCCUGGGGGAGGCCUGCUCUCAGCUGCCUGCUCCUUCGGGAAUUCAAACCCCAGGCAAAGGCAGCUGGCCCCAGGCCAGAGAGGUCCUGGCUUCCCAACCUUGAGCUGUGCAGUCAUUACCUAGGUGCAGGCUGGGCUACAGGGACAGCCAAGCUGAGCAAGGACAGGUCCCCGCAGCCUAGACUGGGGCACCGCUUCGUUCUCGGUCUCACUCCCCGCUGUGCCGUGCUUUGCCUGUGAGACGGCGGCGCUGGGCCUUGCUGGUACGAGGGGCCCUUGGGGGCUUUUUGGAGUCCUGGGCCCGUCGGGGAUGUUUCCUCUUGACCUUUUUGCGGCUGUGUGCAUGUAGUGAUGCUGUGAGGGAGGAGAUCCUAGGGGAGGGCAGAAAGCCUCAGUUUAAGAUUGCAUUGUGGGGUGACUCACCACCUGGCUCACGGAGGGGAUGUCAGGACAGGUUGCGAAUGCCAG
This 2446-nucleotide long non-coding RNA is filed under the name Homo sapiens (human). Its description in RNAcentral is "PREDICTED lncRNA (TCONS_00180669)". The record is from RNAcentral. Lineage: Eukaryota; Metazoa; Chordata; Mammalia; Primates; Hominidae.